AGGCUACACAUGCAAGUCGAGCGGAUGACAGGAGCUUGCUCCUGAAUUCAGCGGCGGACGGGUGAGUAAUGCCUAGGAAUCUGCCUGGUAGUGGGGGACAACGUUUCGAAAGGAACGCUAAUACCGCAUACGUCCUACGGGAGAAAGCAGGGGACCUUCGGGCCUUGCGCUAUCAGAUGAGCCUAGGUCGGAUUAGCUAGUUGGUGAGGUAAUGGCUCACCAAGGCGACGAUCCGUAACUGGUCUGAGAGGAUGAUCAGUCACACUGGAACUGAGACACGGUCCAGACUCCUACGGGAGGCAGCAGUGGGGAAUAUUGGACAAUGGGCGAAAGCCUGAUCCAGCCAUGCCGCGUGUGUGAAGAAGGUCUUCGGAUUGUAAAGCACUUUAAGUUGGGAGGAAGGGCAUUAACCUAAUACGUUAGUGUUUUGACGUUACCGACAGAAUAAGCACCGGCUAACUCUGUGCCAGCAGCCGCGGUAAUACAGAGGGUGCAAGCGUUAAUCGGAAUUACUGGGCGUAAAGCGCGCGUA
This 532-nucleotide ribosomal RNA is filed under the name Pseudomonas sp. EP_S_25. RNAcentral describes it as "bacterial SSU rRNA". It matches the Rfam family "Bacterial small subunit ribosomal RNA", at positions 44 to 573 of the family's 1533-position model. The record is from RNAcentral. Lineage: Bacteria; Pseudomonadati; Pseudomonadota; Gammaproteobacteria; Pseudomonadales; Pseudomonadaceae.